AAAUCCCUAAUGGUGAAAUAUAGGGAAAGUGAAAGUAGUAUUUGGACAGAGUAGUGAUGGUUUGCUUAUCUCUUAAGUGGCAUAAGUUCCCUGCAACUCAUGACGAAAGCCCUUGUUGCCAUAAUUUGCAUUCCUGCCUGUCUUUAGAAGGCAUGUCCCCUGCUAGGAGGGAUUAGACUGUGUUUUUCCCUGUUCUUCAAUGGGAGGAGUUCUCAGGUACAUGGACAAUCUCCUUGACUUCAUGGAGAGUAACCUUUUAGAAAGAUGGGGUAAAGGUUCUUUCAUUCCAUCAACACUGUUGGGGAGGCUACUUGGACCAGGCACUGUUCUAGGCAUUAUGGACAGAUCAUGAGUGAAAUGAAAGGAGUCCCAGACCCAGCUGGGUGGAGGUGACAGUGAUGAAGAAGUCACAUGUUGGUUGACAACUGCUGUGAACUGGCAACCGGCACCAUAGAAGGGACUGACUGGCAGCUGUACCUGACCUGAAUUUGGGGAGCUGUAAGGAAGGCCGCUGGGAUGGAGGGAUGGCCCAGUUUAUCCUGAGUAGAGCCCAUUCUUAGGAACCGCAAGAUAAAAUGGAAAAUGUCAUCUAGCCUGGAGAAAAAUGGACUCUCGCUCUUGGCCUCCCAAUAAUGGUCUGAUCCAAUCCACAUCCUCUGCAACCAUGUUUCUUCCUGCUUAGAAGAAAAGGGAUGAAAAGGACUUUUCUGCAGUCAGGCAGACCCGUGUCAACUGCGAGGUGAUCUCAGGUAGAUUGCAUGGCUUCUCUCAGUUUCGGUUUUCUUGUCAGGUAAAGAGACAGAUCAGAUGAAUGCAGUAAUUAUAAUCACCUGUGUUGGGCACUUGUUAUGUGCCUGUCACAGAUUUACAUGCAUCACCUCAUUUAAUCUUCGAAACAGGCUAGGCGUGGUGGCUCACACCUGUAAUCCCAGGACUUUGGGAGGCUGAGGCAUGUGGAUCAUUUGAGGUCAGGAGUUCAAGAUCAGCAUGGUCAACAUGGUGAAACCCCAUCUACUAAAAAUACAAAAAUUAGCUGGAUGUGGUGGCAGGCACCUGUAAUCCCAGCUACUCAGGAGGCUGAGGCAAGAGAAUUGCUUGAACCCUUGAACCUGGGAGGCUGAUAUGGCACCACUACACUCCAGCCUGGGCAACAGAGUGAGACUCUGUCUUAAAAAAAAAAAAUCUUUGAAACAACCCCUAUGAGUUUGGCAUUAUUCUCUAGGGGUGAGAUUGGGGCAAGGUAAGGGAGACAUUUGCCCCAUGCACAAAAUCUAAAGGGGUACCCCAAAAGCAAUAAUGAAGACAAUAUUUCAUUGUAAUUUUAAAAAUCGAAGUUAACGCAAAAAAAUUCAUAUUGAAUAGAUUGUCAACAUUUAAAAUCAAGACAUCAUCCCUCCCUGUACUUGCAGGACCUGGCCUCACUCAUUUUACCUUAAUCUGGCCCCA
RNAcentral lists this long non-coding RNA (1446 nucleotides) under Callithrix jacchus (white-tufted-ear marmoset). Its description in RNAcentral is "lncRNA (ENSCJAG00000069718.1)". Lineage: Eukaryota; Metazoa; Chordata; Mammalia; Primates; Cebidae. The record is from RNAcentral.